This 1227-nucleotide long non-coding RNA is filed under the name Struthio camelus australis. RNAcentral's name for it is "lncRNA (ENSSCUG00000005253.1)". The record is from RNAcentral. Lineage: Eukaryota; Metazoa; Chordata; Aves; Struthioniformes; Struthionidae.
CAAAAGGAAAGAAGACCCCACAAACAAACAAAAAUAACAGCUCUAAAAGAUCAUGCAGGUACGGUGCCACUGAUUCCCAGUAGCAGAUGUUUCGGGUGUUGCAACUCCCAUCAGAACAGCUGCAGGAAUGUAGAAUCACAUCUGGGUUUGCAACGGGGCUGCAUCAUUACCCAUUGACAGUGAAACAGCCAGCUGCUUCCAAUUCGUUUUAGCGACUGCGCUUCGAGUCUGAGCCUGUGAACAUCCCACGCUUUACAACCGCCGCUUGUCGUUCCCUGCACACGGUACUUGCUGCGGGCUGCUGUAUCGGCCGGCCCUGGGAGGGGGAGCAAAGCCAGGGGAGGAGAGUCGGCGCGGUGGCUGUGCUUUGCCUCUGGCUGCGGCAGGGCUGAGCCGCGGGAGCUGGUUGAGCCCUUUUCCUGUGAAUAAAGGCACUGGAGGUGCUGCAGCCUUCGUGUACUGCAGUGACCCUCCGUGGGGCCAGCUUCCUCCCCGCUAAACCCGUCACGCCACCUUCUCUCUCCUGCUGCUUUCUCCCUCCAGCGACUAUGUUCAGGACGUGCUGCGGGUUUCGGGCUGGUACUUUAGACAUCACCGAAUGGGAAAGAGCCUCAAGUCCCUGCAGCAGGGGCGAGCAAAAGCGGCCAACUCGGGCACCCCUUUCUCCUGCCACCACUCCCUCCCAGUGCCGGCUUGCUGCUGGAGGUGUCUGUGGGCUGGAGGUCCCCACCAGCGGGACCCAGAUCCACAUGCUCAAGUUCUGCGCUUAAAUGACUUAAAAGGAAGGAAUUUUGCUUUUGCUUUGGCUCUUUGCAGGAGACCAGCCUGGGACCCCAACUCCUUCCGUACAGCUAGGUCAGCUGGAGAUAUUUCCACCAGGUGGAGAUACCUGGUGUAAAUAAACAGUGGCCGAGAUCAAAUGCCCAAAGUGGUAAAUGAGCACUUCCACCUCCCUACUGGACCUGACCUCAGGGGACUCAGUGCUGGCACUCUCAGGGUGGCACGUAACAUCUCGGAAUACCUGAGCACAUAGCAGCCUUCUUGAAAUCUCAGAACUUCCAGGACCUACGGGACAAGUGUGGUUUGAUGCUUUACGUCAUCCUUUGGAAAGCCACAAAGUAGCAUAUACUAAGUGAUGAAAUCAAAUAGAUAACCUUUUGUUUCUAAUGGGUUGUUUCUCCUUGUAUUUCUGCACUUCCUCCAUACCCAAAUAAUGCCCUAGUGAAG